CAGCCGUAAACGAUGCUCGCUAGGUGUCAGGCAUGGCGUGACUGUGUUUGGUGCCGAAGGGAAGCCGUGAAGCGAGCCACCUGGGAAGUACGGCCGCAAGGCUGAAACUUAAAGGAAUUGGCGGGGGAGUACAACAACGGGUGGAGCCUGCGGUUUAAUUGGACUCAACGCCGGAAAACUCACCAGGGGAGACAGCAAUAUGUAGGUCAAGCUGAAGACUUUACCUGAAUCGUUGAGAGGAGGUGCAUGGCGUAGACGUCU
This 261-nucleotide ribosomal RNA is filed under the name uncultured archaeon. Its description in RNAcentral is "partial 16S ribosomal RNA". It matches the Rfam family "Archaeal small subunit ribosomal RNA", at positions 748 to 1009 of the family's 1478-position model. The record is from RNAcentral.